AGACCCGAAACCCGGUGAUCUAGCCAUGGGCAGGUUGAAGGUUGGGUAACACUAACUGGAGGACCGAACCGACUAAUGUUGAAAAAUUAGCGGAUGACCUGUGGCUGGGGGUGAAAGGCCAAUCAAACCGGGAGAUAGCUGGUUCUCCCCGAAAGCUAUUUAGGUAGCGCCUCGUGAAUUCAUCUCCGGGGGUAGAGCACUGUUUCGGCUAGGGGGCCAUCCCGGCUUACCAACCCGAUGCAAACUGCGAAUACCGGAGAAUGUUAUCACGGGAGACACACGGCGGGUGCUAACGUCCGUCGUGAAGAGGGAAACAACCCAGACCGCCAGCUAAGGUCCCAAAGUCAUGGUUAAGUGGGAAACGAUGUGGGAAGGCCCAGACAGCCAGGAUGUUGGCUUAGAAGCAGCCAUCAUUUAAAGAAAGCGUAAUAGCUCACUGGUCGAGUCGGCCUGCGCGGAAGAUGUAACGGGGCUAAACCAUGCACCGAAGCUGCGGCAGCGACGCUUAUGCGUUGUUGGGUAGGGGAGCGUUCUGUAAGCCUGCGAAGGUGGCCUGUGAGGGUUGCUGGAGGUAUCAGAAGUGCGAAUGCUGACAUAAGUAACGAUAAAGCGGGUGAAAAGCCCGCUCGCCGGAAGACCAAGGGUUCCUGUCCAACGUUAAUCGGGGCAGGGUGAGUCGACCCCUAAGGCGAGGCCGAAAGGCGUAGUCGAUGGGAAACGGGUUAAUAUUCCCGUACUUGGUGUUACUGCGAAGGGGGGACGGAGAAGGCUAUGUUGGCCGGGCGACGGUUGUCCCGGUUUAAGCGUGUAGGUGUGUGUUCCAGGUAAAUCCGGUUCACUUUAACACUGAGGCGUGAUGACGAGGCACUACGGUGCUGAAGUAACAAAUGCCCUGCUUCCAGGAAAAGCCUCUAAGCAUCAGGUAACAUCAAAUCGUACCCCAAACCGACACAGGUGGUCAGGUAGAGAAUACCAAGGCGCUUGAGAGAACUCGGGUGAAGGAACUAGGCAAAAUGGUGCCGUAACUUCGGGAGAAGGCACGCUGACACGUAGGUGAAGU
Molecule: ribosomal RNA, 1060 nt
Filed under: Salmonella enterica subsp. enterica serovar Dublin
Lineage: Bacteria; Pseudomonadati; Pseudomonadota; Gammaproteobacteria; Enterobacterales; Enterobacteriaceae
Description: partial 23S ribosomal RNA
Rfam family: Bacterial large subunit ribosomal RNA
Source: RNAcentral